RNAcentral lists this non-coding RNA (101 nucleotides) under Staphylococcus succinus. RNAcentral describes it as "SAM-I sequence". It matches the Rfam family "SAM riboswitch aptamer (S box leader)". From Rfam's summary of the family: The SAM riboswitch is found upstream of a number of genes which code for proteins involved in methionine or cysteine biosynthesis in Gram-positive bacteria. The record is from RNAcentral. Lineage: Bacteria; Bacillati; Bacillota; Bacilli; Caryophanales; Staphylococcaceae.
UACUUAUCAAGAGAAGUGUAAGGCAGCUCUGUCGAUACUUCGACAACAUGGUGAUGCAUGUGCUAAUUUCAGUAGCUUGCAUAAAUGCUAGAAGAUAGGGA